RNAcentral lists this ribosomal RNA (465 nucleotides) under uncultured bacterium. RNAcentral describes it as "bacterial SSU rRNA". It matches the Rfam family "Bacterial small subunit ribosomal RNA", at positions 917 to 1382 of the family's 1533-position model. The record is from RNAcentral.
GGGCCCGCACAAGCGGUGGAGCAUGUGGUUCAAUUCGACGCAACGCGAAGAACCUUACCUGGGCUAGACAACGGUGGACCGUCCUAGAAAUAGGAUUUUCCCUUCGGGGACUGCCGGUUCAGGUGCUGCAUGGCUGUCGUCAGCUCGUGCCGUGAGGUGUUGGGUUAAGUCCCGCAACGAGCGCAACCCUUGUCCUUAGUUGCCACCAUUCAGUUGGGCACUCUAGGGAGACUGCCGGCGUUAAGCCGGAGGAAGGUGGGGACGACGUCAAGUCAUCAUGGCCCUUAUGUCCAGGGCCACACACGUGCUACAAUGGGCGGUACAAAGGGUCGCAAACCCGCAAGGGGGAGCCAAUCCCAAAAAGCCGCUCUCAGUUCGGAUUGGAGUCUGCAACUCGACUCCAUGAAGUUGGAAUCGCUAGUAAUCGCGGAUCAGCACGCCGCGGUGAAUACGUUCCCGGGCCUU